CCUACGGGGGGCAGCAGUAGGGAAUUUUCGGCAAUGGGGGGAACCCUGACCGAGCAACGCCGCGUGAACGAAGAAGUUAUUCGUAAUGUAAAGUUCUUUUAACAGGGAAGAAAGAGAAAUUUGACGGUACCUGAAGAAUAAGCUCCGGCUAACUACGUGCCAGCAGCCGCGGUAAUACGUAGUGAGCGAGCGUUAUCCGGAAUUAUUGGGCGAAAAGGGUGCGUAGAUGGCAUAGUAAGUCUUUUGUAAAAAUGCUGGGCUCAACCCAGUAGGGCAAAAGAUACUGGAAAGCUAGAGUAUGACAGAGGCAAGUGGAACUAAAUGUGUAGCGGUAAAAUGCGUAAAUAUAUGUAAGAACACCAGUGGCGAAGGCGGCUUGCUGGGCCGAUACUGACAUUGAGGCACGAAAGCGUGGGGAGCAAACAGGAUUAGAUACCCUUGUAGUC
This 446-nucleotide ribosomal RNA is filed under the name uncultured bacterium. RNAcentral's name for it is "partial 16S ribosomal RNA". It matches the Rfam family "Bacterial small subunit ribosomal RNA", at positions 338 to 795 of the family's 1533-position model. The record is from RNAcentral.